AGAGUUUGAUCAUGGCUCAGGAUGAACGCUAGCGGCAGGCCUAACACAUGCAAGUCGAGGGGUAACAUAGGAGCUUGCUUCUGAUGACGACCGGCGCACGGGUGCGUAACGCGUAUACAAUCUACCUUUUGCUGAGGAAUAGCCCAGAGAAAUUUGGAUUAAUGCCUCAUAGUAUGGAGACUUCGCAUGGAGACUCUAUUAAAGGUUACGGCAAAAGAUGAGUAUGCGUCCUAUUAGUUAGUUGGUGUGGUAACGGCACACCAAGACAGCGAUAGGUAGGGGCCCUGAGAGGGGGAUCCCCCACACUGGUACUGAGACACGGACCAGACUCCUACGGGAGGCAGCAGUGAGGAAUAUUGGACAAUGGAGGCAACUCUGAUCCAGCCAUGCCGCGUGCAGGAAGACUGCCCUAUGGGUUGUAAACUGCUUUUAUACAGGAAGAAACCGCUCUACGUGUAGAGCUCUGACGGUACUGUAAGAAUAAGGAUCGGCUAACUCCGUGCCAGCAGCCGCGGUAAUACGGAGGAUCCAAGCGUUAUCCGGAAUCAUUGGGUUUAAAGGGUCCGUAGGUGGAUAAUUAAGUCAGAGGUGAAAUCCUGCAGCUCAACUGUAGAAUUGCCUUUGAAACUGGCUAUCUUGAGUUAUUAUGAAGUAGUUAGAAUAUGUAGUGUAGCGGUGAAAUGCAUAGAUAUUACAUAGAAUACCAAUUGCGAAGGCAGAUUACUAAUAAUCAACUGACACUGAUGGACGAAAGCGUGGGGAGCGAACAGGAUUAGAUACCCUGGUAGUCCACGCCGUAAACGAUGGUCACUAGCUGUUUGGACUUCGGUCUGAGUGGCUAAGCGAAAGUGAUAAGUGACCCACCUGGGGAGUACGUUCGCAAGAAUGAAACUCAAAGGAAUUGACGG
Molecule: ribosomal RNA, 908 nt
Filed under: uncultured bacterium
Lineage: Bacteria
Description: bacterial SSU rRNA
Rfam family: Bacterial small subunit ribosomal RNA
Source: RNAcentral